GUUUCUACUUUUAGGAUCUAACAAAUUAAAUGUUGAAUUAAAUUAAAUUACUGUUUCUGCAUUUAGAAUCCUUGAUUGCAAGUAGCAAUACUUACCAAGUAAAAGAUCCAUGGCUUUGGCGAGUAAAAAACUGAAGGUUUCUGAUCAACCAACAAUGGAAGAUGAACACGAAUUGGAUGUGAAAUUUCAUGAUCCAUUCAUCGUGUCAUCGCUUCCAAUAUUAAUAUGUUAAUAUUGUGUUUCCACGAGUCCAUGCUACUGCAUUCAAUUUUUCAAUAUUUCUGUCAACACCGCAUUAAAGAUAACUUGAUUUCAACCUGUCCUGAAUUCCCUGCUGUUGAAAUUUUGAAUUCAUUUGAUUGCCAUUUAGCAGUAGUGUGCGUUGAAAAGAUGGCAAAAUGACGAUGCUCAGGAAAAGUGAAACUAUUGUGAUACUUGUCAUAGCAGGAUUUGUUAUUAAAUGAAAAGAAAGACUUUAGAUGUAAGCCUGAGCCCCUUUUCAUCAAUAAUUCAGAAAUCUUGUGCUCUGGUUGUAAAAUAAUUCCAGCUUAGUUCAGGACGGAGAGUGGAUCGAAUUCGUGCCAUAGAUGUAAAUCAACAACAUUUCAGCCAUUAACAUCAUUAAAAUUGAACAAUCCGCCAUUAGUGAAUGCAAAAGGUUAAUGUGCACCAUCACAAUGAACACGAAGGAAAUUAUUCAUCGUAAUAGGAUUCAAAUUGCUAAAUUAAGCUGCCUGAAAAGGAGUUGGAAAUGAUAAGUAAAGCCGUAUACCUUUCACUUGCAGACAAGCUUUGGUCGACGCUCAGUAUAAGCAUCAAAGCCUCCCAGUGCAGUGAAUGAUGUUGAAGACAGUACCAAUAUUUCAUUCAGAAUUGGCUCUGAAACAUUGCAUGGUCUCAAAAGAGUAGCUGAUGGCAUAGAGAAAACCGAAUUAUUAAUAGAGCACUCGACAUCUAUUUUUGGGUUCGAUAAACUUAAUACAUUCAACAUGCACAUUGACUUGCACUAUUGCCCAUUUACUAGCCUUUAUUGACUCGCGGUAGGCAACACUAUCUGAUACGAAUGACCACUCAACGCCAGAAGUGUUAAUCAAACAACACAUAUCAAAUGCAUUUGACGCCUACCUGAGUUGCUCAUGUGCAUGGCAUACUCGUACUGUUUGACUGGGCGGUCACUCGAAACGCCAGUUUUAACUGAAAAUCGAAGUGAUUAGUUGUUUCGAUUUUGAACUCGAUUUGAAGAUAUUAAUUAUUUCUGAUUAACACAAAGAUUGAAUUUGAAGACAAUGGAGUUAAUGCUUUUAAAUUAAAAGUUAAUGUUUCUUUUUUCCUCAAGACAAUCGUGUUUAGGUAAAUCCCGGUAACUCGUGUGAAUCUUGAUCAUUUUGCUGCUGUUGUUGUGUUUUUAAAUUAGUAUUAAAUUAUUAUUAUCUUUAUAUUGAUUAAAAAAGUGCAAAUUCGUGUCUAACAUUUGUUUACACAUUACGAUAUAUAUACGAUUGGAGGAUAAAGGUGAAUGAUAAAAGAUGAUAAUAAUGUGAAAGGGAUAACAGAUAGAUGUUGAUUAAAAAGGAAAGCUACAAAGUGUAUAAGACAAGUGGAGAUAUUAACUGUAUUAUAAGCUAUAAAAUGGUCAACAGGAAGAAGCAAACUCGAAAUGGAAAUGGGUCAAAUUUUGGUGAAUCCAUUAUGUUAAUCGACCAGCGCAAAAGAAGGCAGACAUUUUGUAUUCAUUGUUCACCUUAAUAUUUCAAGUAGAAGAGCCAAGAUAAUGUAAUUCACCAAAUUAUUGAGACAAUCAACUUAUGAUGAUAUGAGAAAUUCAUCAUUGCCCUUAUAUAUCUAAAUUAUUUCUGAUUAACUAUUUAUUUUAUAUUAACUUUCACAUCCACUCAUCUGAUUAGGAAAUCUGACCAACAACCAAACACCAACUCAAGUCUUCUUGCAGAUAUUUGUUUUUGGCGCUUUGGCAGUUGGACGUGAUUGAUUAACAAUUUUUACAAUUUAAAUCUUUUGUCUACUAAUGGCAAUUGAUCACGAUUAGGAAAACAGAAUAAACGAAAAAGUUUUCCCUUUAAACAUGAUGAUCAUGAUCACAAUCAUUACCAUUUAUUACCCAAUCAGCCCAAUUUGAUCAACAUGAAGUAUCAAUUUAAAUCACAUUAAGGUUAACAAAGUUGAAUACUUUCAUUUCAAUUUUUCAUUUUCCUUGAACUAUGAAUUCAUCAAUUCUUGAAAUAAUCAGACAAAUCAAAUGUAAAAGGAUAAUGAAAUCUGACAAAAUAAUGUUAAUGUCAAUUGUUAACAUCAUGAAACCAUCUGACAGUUGCAAUUCACUUCUUCAAAUGUAAUAAACCAAAAAUAUUAAUAUAUUGAAUUUCAAUUUGAUAACAAAAUUGAACAUAAUUUUCUCAUGUUAUUGUGAAUGGAUAAAGAAUCUUAAUCAGACAA
Molecule: long non-coding RNA, 2451 nt
Organism: Tetranychus urticae (two-spotted spider mite)
Lineage: Eukaryota; Metazoa; Arthropoda; Arachnida; Trombidiformes; Tetranychidae
Source: RefSeq, a predicted model, not a curated record